This 670-nucleotide ribosomal RNA is filed under the name Nocardia sp. Its description in RNAcentral is "bacterial SSU rRNA". It matches the Rfam family "Bacterial small subunit ribosomal RNA", at positions 74 to 761 of the family's 1533-position model. The record is from RNAcentral. Lineage: Bacteria; Bacillati; Actinomycetota; Actinomycetes; Mycobacteriales; Nocardiaceae.
GGCCCUUCGGGGUACACGAGCGGCGAACGGGUGAGUAACACGUGGGUGAUCUGCCUCGUACUCUGGGAUAAGCCUGGGAAACUGGGUCUAAUACCGGAUAUGACCACGAAUCGCAUGGUUUGUGGUGGAAAGAUUUAUCGGUGCGAGAUGGGCCCGCGGCCUAUCAGCUUGUUGGUGGGGUAAUGGCCUACCAAGGCGACGACGGGUAGCCGACCUGAGAGGGUGACCGGCCACACUGGGACUGAGACACGGCCCAGACUCCUACGGGAGGCAGCAGUGGGGAAUAUUGCACAAUGGGCGAAAGCCUGAUGCAGCGACGCCGCGUGAGGGAUGACGGCCUUCGGGUUGUAAACCUCUUUCGACAGGGACGAAGCGUAAGUGACGGUACCUGUAGAAGAAGCACCGGCCAACUACGUGCCAGCAGCCGCGGUAAUACGUAGGGUGCGAGCGUUGUCCGGAAUUACUGGGCGUAAAGAGCUUGUAGGCGGUUCGUCGCGUCGAUUGUGAAAACUUGCAGCUCAACUGCAAGCUUGCAGUCGAUACGGGCGGACUAGAGUACUUCAGGGGAGACUGGAAUUCCUGGUGUAGCGGUGAAAUGCGCAGAUAUCAGGAGGAACACCGGUGGCGAAGGCGGGUCUCUGGGAAGUAACUGACGCUGAGAAGCGAAGUG